UAAAGAAAGUAAGAAAGGGCGUAUGGCGGAUGCCUAGGCUCACGGAGGCGAUGAAGGACGUGAUAAGCUGCGAUAAGCUUCGGGUAGGUGCAAAUAACCUUUGAUCCGAAGAUUUCCGAAUGGGACAACCUAGCCGUCUGAAGGACGGUUACUCUUACCAAUGUAAGAGAGCUAACGCAGGGAACUGAAACAUCUUAGUACCUGCAGGAAGAGAAAAUAAAUGAAUGAUUCCCCCAGUAGUGGCGAGCGAACGGGGAACAGCCCAAACCGUUGACGUCGCAAGGCGCCAGCGGGGUUGUAGGACCGCGACAUUGUAUGCAAAUCGUGAACAGAACACUUUGGAAAAUGUGACCAUAGACGGUGAUAGUCCAGUAUGUGAAGCGAAAUGCAGCAUAGCGGUAUCCUGAGUAACGCGGGACACGAGGAAUCCUGCGCGAAUCUGCCGGGACCAUCCGGUAAGGCUAAAUACUCCCGUGAGACCGAUAGCGAACGAGUACUGUGAAGGAAAGGUGAAAAGAACCCCGAGCAGGGGAGUGAAAUAGUUCCUGAAACCAUACGCCUACAAGCGGUCGGAGCAUCGUAAGAUGUGACGGCGUGCCUUUUGCAUAAUGAUCCUACGAGUUACCGUCACUGGCGAGGUUGAGUGUCACGAGACACGUAGCCGCAGUGAAAGCGAGCCUGAAUAGGGCGCACAGUCAGUGGGGGUAGACGCGAAACCAAGUGAUCUACACUUGGCCAGGAUGAAGUCCCGGUAACACGGGAUGGAGGUCCGCACCAAUAAGCGUUGAAAAGCUUCUGGAUGAGCCGAGUGUAGGAGUGAAAGGCCAAUCAAACUUGGAGAUAGCUCGUACUCCCCGAAAGGCAUUUAGGUGCCGCGUCGGAUGGUCACCGUGAGAGGUAGAGCGACCGAUAGGACAAGAGGGCUUCACCGCCUAUCGAGUCCUGACGAACUCCGAAUGCUCACGGUCUGCAGUCCGGCAGUAAGGGGGCGGGUGCUAAGGUCCGUCCCCGAGAGGAGAAGAAUCCAGACCGCCGUCUAAGGUCCCGGAGUUCUGCCUGAGUUAGUCUAACGAAGUCUGGUCCCUAUGACAGCUAGGAUGUUGGCUUGGAAGCAGCCAUUCAUUCAAAGAGUGCGUAACAGCUCACUAGUCGAGGGUCCGGGCAUGGAUAAUAAUCGGGUAUAAGGCAGACACCGAAGGCGCGGGAUAGCAAUUAUAAAAGUAUCGGUAGGGGAGCAUACUCACAGCGUCGAAUGGUGUACGUAAGUUAUCCUGGAGCGGUGAGUAAAGCAAAUGUAGGAAUAAGUAACGAUAAGGAGGGUUAGAUUCCCUCCCGCUGUAAGACCAAGGUUUCCCGGGCAAUGCCAAUCAGCCCGGGGUCAGUCGGGUCCUAAGUCUAAGCCGAACGGCGAUGGCGAUGGCAGAGACGGUUAAUAUUCCGUCACUGCCGCAUGGGGCGACGUGGAGACGGAGCAGUGAAACCACCGCGGGGCGACGGAAGUCCCCGUUGAAGAGUGUAGG
RNAcentral lists this ribosomal RNA (1520 nucleotides) under Segatella copri. RNAcentral describes it as "partial 23S ribosomal RNA". It matches the Rfam family "Bacterial large subunit ribosomal RNA", at positions 1 to 1524 of the family's 2925-position model. Lineage: Bacteria; Pseudomonadati; Bacteroidota; Bacteroidia; Bacteroidales; Prevotellaceae. The record is from RNAcentral.